RNAcentral lists this ribosomal RNA (495 nucleotides) under uncultured bacterium. RNAcentral describes it as "partial 16S ribosomal RNA". It matches the Rfam family "Bacterial small subunit ribosomal RNA", at positions 28 to 507 of the family's 1533-position model. The record is from RNAcentral.
GACGAACGCUGGCGGCGUGCCUAAUACAUGCAAGUAGAACGCUGAAGGAGGAGCUUGCUUCUCUGGAUGAGUUGCGAACGGGUGAGUAACGCGUAGGUAACCUGCCUGGUAGCGGGGGAUAACUAUUGGAAACGAUAGCUAAUACCGCAUAAGAGUAGAUGUCGCAUGACAUUUGCUUAAAAGGUGCAAUUGCAUCACUACCAGAUGGACCUGCGUUGUAUUAGCUAGUUGGUGAGGUAACGGCUCACCAAGGCAACGAUACAUAGCCGACCUGAGAGGGUGAUCGGCCACACUGGGACUGAGACACGGCCCAGACUCCUACGGGAGGCAGCAGUAGGGAAUCUUCGGCAAGGGACGGAAGUCUGAGCGAGCAACGCCGCGUGAGUGAAGAAGGGUUUCGGAUCGUAAAGCUCGGUUGUAAGAGAAGAACGAGGGUGAGAGUGGAAAGUUCACACUGUGACGGUAUCUUACCAGAAAGGGACGGCUAACUACGUG